ACAAAAAGUAUAUAGUAUUGUAUU
This 24-nucleotide small nuclear RNA is filed under the name Arabidopsis thaliana (thale cress). RNAcentral's name for it is "snRNA_01474". The record is from RNAcentral. Lineage: Eukaryota; Viridiplantae; Streptophyta; Magnoliopsida; Brassicales; Brassicaceae.